Molecule: ribosomal RNA, 253 nt
Filed under: uncultured bacterium
Lineage: Bacteria
Description: partial 16S ribosomal RNA
Rfam family: Bacterial small subunit ribosomal RNA
Source: RNAcentral
UACGUAGGGGGCUAGCGUUGUUCGGAAUUACUGGGCGUAAAGCGCACGUAGGCGGCUUUGUAAGUUAGCGGUGAAAGCCCGGGGCUCAACUCCGGAAUUGCCUUUAAGACUGCAUCGCUAGAAUUGUGGAGAGGUGAGUGGAAUUCCGAGUGUAGAGGUGAAAUUCGUAGAUAUUCGGAAGAACACCAGUGGCGAAGGCGACUCACUGGACACAUAUUGACGCUGAGGUGCGAAAGCGUGGGGAGCAAACAGG